Molecule: ribosomal RNA, 539 nt
Filed under: Bifidobacterium breve
Lineage: Bacteria; Bacillati; Actinomycetota; Actinomycetes; Bifidobacteriales; Bifidobacteriaceae
Description: bacterial SSU rRNA
Rfam family: Bacterial small subunit ribosomal RNA
Source: RNAcentral
GAAACGGGUGGUAAUGCCGGAUGCUCCAUCACACUGCAUGGUGUGUUGGGAAAGCCUUUGCGGCAUGGGAUGGGGUCGCGUCCUAUCAGCUUGAUGGCGGGGUAACGGCCCACCAUGGCUUCGACGGGUAGCCGGCCUGAGAGGGCGACCGGCCACAUUGGGACUGAGAUACGGCCCAGACUCCUACGGGAGGCAGCAGUGGGGAAUAUUGCACAAUGGGCGCAAGCCUGAUGCAGCGACGCCGCGUGAGGGAUGGAGGCCUUCGGGUUGUAAACCUCUUUUGUUAGGGAGCAAGGCACUUUGUGUUGAGUGUACCUUUCGAAUAAGCACCGGCUAACUACGUGCCAGCAGCCGCGGUAAUACGUAGGGUGCAAGCGUUAUCCGGAAUUAUUGGGCGUAAAGGGCUCGUAGGCGGUUCGUCGCGUCCGGUGUGAAAGUCCAUCGCUUAACGGUGGAUCCGCGCCGGGUACGGGCGGGCUUGAGUGCGGUAGGGGAGACUGGAAUUCCCGGUGUAACGGUGGAAUGUGUAGAUAUCGGGA